ACCCCCAUGCAGCGAGUUAAGAGUUACUUAAAGGGGGUACAGCCCCUUUAAAAAAGGACACACCCUCCACUAGCGGAUAACACCCCUCCACUUUAACCCGUGGGCCUUAAAGCAGCCACCCCAAAAGAAUGCGUCAAAGCUCCCAACCAAAAAUUUAAAAACAACACGAUUCCCUACACCCUUAGCCGGCUAACCUAUAACAAUAGAUGAACCAAUGCUAGAACGAGUAACCAGGAUACCUUCCCCUCAAGCGCUAGCCUACAUACCAUUAACAGCCCAACAUCAAUACCCAACCCCCACAAGACCAACCAUUGAACACACCCUGUUAACCCAACCCAGGAGCGCACACUAGGAUGAUUAAAAUCUACAAAAGGAACUCGGCAAACCCAAGACCCGMCUGUUUAYCAAAAACAUAGCCUUCAGCCAAACAAGUAUUGAAGGUGAUGCCUGCCCAGUGACACUACGUUCAACGGCCGCGGGUAUCCUAACCGUGCAAAGGUAGCGCAAUCAAUUGUCCCAUAAAUCGAGACUUGUAUGAACGGCUAAACGAGGUCUUAACUGUCUCCUGUAGAUAAUCAGUGAAACUGAUCUCCCUGUGCAAAAGCAGGAAUAAGUACAUAAGACGAGAAGACCCUGUGGAACUUUAGAAUUAAUAGCCACCACACACCCAACCCUAUACCCAUCAGGUCCACCACCCAAAACACUGGCCAAUAUUCUUAGAUUGGGGCGAUCUUGGAGAAAAACAAACCCUCCAAAAACAAGGCCAAACCCCUUAGCCAAGAGCAACCCCUCAACGCGCUAACAGCCCCCAGACCCAAUAAAAUUGACUAAUGGACCAAGCUACCCCAGGGAUAACAGCGCAAUCUCCCCCAAGAGCCCCUAUCGACGAGGAGGUUUACGACCUCGAUGUUGGAUCA
This 917-nucleotide ribosomal RNA is filed under the name Nymphicus hollandicus (cockatiel). Its description in RNAcentral is "partial 16S ribosomal RNA". The stretch from base 350 to 917 matches the Rfam family "Archaeal large subunit ribosomal RNA", at positions 1424 to 2610 of the family's 2987-position model. Lineage: Eukaryota; Metazoa; Chordata; Aves; Psittaciformes; Cacatuidae. The record is from RNAcentral.